CUCAAAUCGGCGGACCAUACUCGGGGGGGAUUUACUUUUCACAAGAAGCCGAACGGCUCGUCCCACGAUGUCACGGAGCUGGUGGAGGACGAGCGGCGCAUGCCCCUCUCGUCCAGUAGCAGCGGCAGGAACUUCUUCUUCACCAGGGUGUCCUUCACCGCCCGCUGGAGAGCCAAGAUGAACGUCCUCCUGUCAAGCUCCUCCUGCACCUGUGGAGACUCUCCCCGUUCAGACCUCUGACCUCAUCAGGGCUCUCGUUGCCCAGGGCGAUGGCCGUGAGCUGGCAGCAGAGCAGGUGCAGGAUCUUGGGCGUGUGUGUGAGGAGUCG
This is a long non-coding RNA of Alosa alosa (allis shad), 328 nucleotides long. RefSeq lists it as uncharacterized. The transcript is spliced from 3 exons. NCBI's taxonomy places the organism in Eukaryota, Metazoa, Chordata, Actinopteri, Clupeiformes, Clupeidae. The record is from RefSeq and is a predicted model, not a curated record.